Sorex araneus (European shrew) is the source of this 5332-nucleotide RNA transcript. It is a transcript of the gene named zinc finger protein 77-like, with no coding region annotated. The transcript has 9 exons. The record is from RefSeq and is a predicted model, not a curated record. NCBI's taxonomy places the organism in Eukaryota, Metazoa, Chordata, Mammalia, Eulipotyphla, Soricidae.
UAUGCCGGGAUUGUCACCCUGUCUUCCACCAGCCUGCGGGUGGGAGGCUGGUGGUAGAGGUGGUGCUGCAACCUUGGGGGUGCAGAGAGUGAGUCGGGUGCGACCCCAUGCCUUUACUCUCACCCUCCCAAAACUCAGGCGAGUCUGGAAGCUUCCCCAAGCAGCUUCUUCAUAUGCCCAGAUCCGCUGUGCCUGGACUUCUGACCUGCUCCAGUAAGAUGGAGUCAGUAUCCUACGAGGACGUGGCCAUGAAAUUCACACAGGCCGAGUGGGCUUUGCUGGAUCCUGCCCAGAGGUGCCUGUACAGAGAAGUGAUGCUGGAGGUCUGCAGGCACCUGGCCUACGUGGAGGGUUUCGCUCGUGGGAAAGCCAGUGGUGCUCUUGGAGGUGUCUUGGAGAAUACGUUAUUCAGUGAAGACAGUACCAUGGGGUUCAUGAGCAAUGAUUCCUGCGAUGGUUUUGGAGAGAAGCGGAUGUGCCCUGACGCUGGUGACCAGCAGCAAAUGCAGAACAGACGACAGAAACUCCCCUUGCUGGACAGUCUCGGAGACGGUCACGAAGCUCCUGCGGGAGCCAGAGGAACCCCAAGGCGGACUCGAAGCCUCCCUACGCCCCAAAGUCCUGUUGCUGCCACUUCUGCAGAAUGUUCUUCCCCCGAUCCCCCCCCAGCACCUCCCCACGGCUCUCCUUCAGGUGAACAGGCUCAGGCGGACAUCGGCGGCCCGGCCGCUCAGGGGACCCCCUCUCCUAACCCCGGUGCUGUUAGGCGACACACUCGGAGGGUCGCUGGCACCCAGAGCCAGCCACCAUCCCACGAAUGCAAAGUGUGUGGGGAGACCUUCAGUGUCGCCAGCCUGCUGACACGUCACAUCAGGGAGCACCACGGGAAGACACCGUACGUGUGUGAGCUCUGCGGGAAGGGCUUCCGCUUCCCCUCGAAUCUGCAGGCUCAUGCCAAGACGCACACUGACCCCGAGAAGCCCUUUCAGUGCCCCGAUUGCCCCCAGACGUUCAGGUACGCCUAUAAGCUGCGUGCCCACGCUCAGGUGCAUUCGGGUGCCAGGCUGUUCACCUGUCAGCAGUGUGGGAAAAACUUCAGUUGUGACUCCAAGCUGCGUCGGCACAGCCGGACCCACACCGGGGAGAAGCCGUACGACUGCCCCGAGUGCGGGAAGGCGUUCCGGCAGAGCCACUCGCUGGUACUGCACCAGCGUGUCCACACGGGCGAGCGACCCUACACGUGCCCACAGUGCGGGAAAGGUUUCCGCUACCUGCCCACCCUAAAGGCCCACCGGGUGAUCCACACAACCCAGAGUCCCUUCCAGUGCCCCGAGUGCGGCAAGGCCUACCGCUACCGCUCCUACCUCUACGUCCACCUGCAGAUGCACCAGGCAACCCAGCCCCUCACCUGCGAGGAGUGUGGCACAGUCUUCAGCCACCCCAGGUACUUCCGCCGGCACGUCAAGAGGCACCGCGAGGAGCAGCCUUUCGUGUGCCACUGCAGACGGGCAUUUGGUUGUUCUUCAGCCCUGCGCCAACACGUCUGCCGGACCCACACCAAGGAGAAGCGCUGAGCCCAUCUCCCAUCCUAUACCAGGGAUGUCUCCCUGUCUCCCACCAGCCUGUGGGGAAAGAACCACCUGGGUGCGGAGAGAGCGUGGGCUGCAACCCCCGUGCCUCAAUUUCUCUCAUUCCACCCCCCACCACCACCAAAACAAACUCAGGUGAGUCUGGAAGCUUCUCCAAGCAGCUUCUUCAUAUCUCCUAAGACCCUCUGUGCCCUGACUUCUGACCUGCUCAGAAAGAUGGAGUUGGUAUCCUUUAAGGACGUGGCCGUGAACUUCACUCGGGCCGAGUGGGCUUUGCUGGAUCCUGCCCAGAGACGCCUGUACAGAGACGUGAUGCUGGAGGCCUGCGGGCACCUGGCCUUCGUGGAGGGUUUCUCUGAACAAAAAGCGAGUGGUGCUCUUGGACGUAUCUUGGAGAAUACGUUGUUCGGCGAAGACAGCACUGUGAGAUUCAUAAGCAGUGAAUCCUGGAAUAGAUUGGGAGAGAAGCGAAUGUUCCCUGACAGAGGCGACCAGCAGCCAAUGCAGAAGCGGCUACAGAACCCCUGUGGGAAACACCAGGAUGUGUUUGGAAUGCAAUGGUCGGGGGCAAGUGCUGGGAGCCACGAACCACGACAGCACUGAGAAGAAAAUCUCCCUCCCUCGGGCACUAGAGAGACCCCUUUAUGGCUGAUAGGAAUGUUGAACAAUGCUGCCCAACCCCCAUUCCUCAUAGCCCUGGAAACUGAGUAAACCUCUUCCAAGUUUUCCUGGAUGUUGGUUAAUUCAGGUGAGUGUUGCAGUGAAAAUGAUGGCCAUGUUGAGUUACAUAUAGAUUUGGUCAAGAAAAUGUGGGUGACUCCUCCCUAGGUGAAUGGUUCCUUGUUUGUAGUCAAGAAUAUCAUUACCCACUGGUGGAGUAAUAGUACAGCGGGGAAAGCACUUGCCUUAUACGGCCAACUAUGCUGGAUGCAUGCAAGGCAAGUGCCUACCCAUUAUAUUACCACUCUAUCACUCUCAAAAUCUUCUCUUUAAAUUAAAUCACUGUGAGAUACAGUUACAAAGUUGUUCAUGAUUGGAUUUCAACACCCAUCCGCUCAUCAGUGUACAUUUCCCACCAACAAUGUCCCCAGUUACCCUCCCUCCACCCCUCACCUCUUAACUCUUUUUUUUUUUUUUGGCUUUUUGGGUUACACCCAGCGAUGCACAGGGGUUACUCUUCCAGGUGUGAUUCUUGAAGGCAGAGUCAGGAAUAAACCUUCAGCAUUGCUGGGUGUGGCCCCAAAACAAAAAAGCGUGCGCGCGCGCGCGCGCACACACACACACACACACACACACGGAGAAAAUAAUAGCUAAGAACUUCUCCAAGCUAAGACAGGAGUUGGACACCCAGAACCAAGAGGUUCAAAGAGCUCCAAAGAGAAGAGCCCCAAUCAGACCCACUAAGAAAUACUAGCAUACAAUGGCCAAAAGCAAAGCUGAAGAGAAAAGCCUAAAAGCAGUAAGAGAAAAGUAUUCUUUGCUUAAGAGAACCCCCAUGAGACUGUCAACAGAGUUCUCACAAAACUAUAGAUCAGAAGGCAGGGUGGUGGGGGAAGUGUGAUAUAAAAAAGUGCUACAAGCAGAGUACUUCCUACCAAGAAUACUCUACCCAGUUCACUUAGAAUGCACAACUGAAUGAGGGGUAAAGAGUUUUUCAGUCAAAUAACAGUUCUGAGGAUUUAUGACCACCAAACUAGCCCUCCAGGUUACCUUGAGGGACUUCUAGGGAAAGAAAAGUGGUGAACACAUUGGUAUAGGAACCGAGCAAACCCCAUCGUAAUGUUUCACCACUGUGCAAACUUGAAUGAGCUCUCAGAUGAUCACAGGGAAAGAUUCUUGGCUUCAGUUCUCUCUGGCUCUUCAAUACAGGCUCAUCUGGGUGUUUGGAUGCACCUAGAAGGGAAUGUUGAGCAGACGGUCUUCAUGGGCAGGGUUAGAAGGUGAAGGAUGGAGCCAACAUCAUAUUCCCAAGACCAGACAGCAGAAAGACAUCAGUCCUGAAUCAGAACAGCAGACAAAAAAGAGAAAGGAUAAACAUAAAAAAGAUAGAAGGCGAGGACCUGUCAGAAAGACUGGCUCUUCCUGGAGAGAACCCCCCCUGGAACGAGCAGGAAGACAUCUCAGUCCCGACUGAGACUCGGGAGGGGCAGAGCGAUGGGAUGUGGGAGGGCGCUUGCCUUGGACACAGCUGACCUGGGACACUCCCUGGCACCCGAUAAGCUCCUCCAAGCAAUGCCAGGCAUCAGCCCUGAGCAUCGCCAGGUGGGUAAACCAAAGAAAAAAGAAUCUCUGCGGGAACAGAAAAGAACUGGAACAGGCUUUAUGCCGCUGGUUUCAACAGAAAGAACAAGAGUGACUCCUGAGAGCAGAGCUAGGAGUAAGCCCUGAACACUGCCCAGUGUGACCCUCUCUUCCCCAGAGAAUGUGUGAAGAAGCUAUGAUUCCUCACGUUCUGAUUCGCACCUGGAGAGCGGGAGCUGGAGACAGAUUUUCUCCCUGAUGGGCUGGGCGUCUGGAUUCUCCCAGUCACCACUAAUUAAAUGAACAGGGAACUCCCUCCCCUCCCCUCCCCUCUCCUCUCCUCUCUUCUCUCCUCUCUCUUUCUUUUCUUGGGGCGGGCCACCUGGUUCUGCGCUCAGGGAUUGGAUCACUGGUGUGGAUCUCGUGCGGGGGGGGGGUGCCCGGCCAGGACCCAGGACCAUAGCCUUGCUAUGCUGUGGGAUCUCACCAGCCCCUAAUAGGGGGAGCCUGUUUGGAUGUUUUCCUGGACCUCAAUGCUGACUUGGAAGAAUGUGAGGCAAUGGGAGCGGAAGGGUGGAGCGCCCGGUCACCUGAGAUGCAUCUGAUUGGCCCUUUUCAUCUCACCCGCCCUCACCGUCAUCCAAUCACAGGUAGAUUAUGGGAGGUUGGAGGCGGGGAGAUAACCGCGGGUAGAAAUAGGCGCCAGCCCUGAACCUGCUCUUGGCUCCCUGAGCUCUGUCCAGCGUAGUCGCUGGACCCGCGGGGCCAUCAGCCCUUAGGCAGAGGCGCUAAGCCAGACAGAUUCCAGAUCAGGAAGUGCUGCAGAGAGCGUGAAGACGGCCUAGGAAUUAGACCAGGCAGCCGGGAAGAAGUAACCGGGACCAGGUGAGGAUGGAGGCUGUGGAGUGGGUGAAGGGAGAGGGGGAGGGUUGAGUGACGUCACACCGAGGCAUCUGGACCUGACAACUGAACUGUUUAAUGAACUUUCUUAUUUUUAUUGUCUUGGGGUCACAGCAGGCGAUGCUCAGAGCUGUCCCUGGCUCUAUAGUCCUGGAUCACUCGUGGCAGAGCCUUGAGGACCUACUGGGAUGCUGGGGAUCUAACCCGGAUCAUUUGUCAGCAUACAAGCACCUUAAUCGGUUUAGGGGCCUCUAAAAGUGAACAACGUUUAUUUUGCUAUUGGCCACAUCGUUAAUGCUCAGGGGUUACCCCUGGCUCUGCACUCAGCAAUUACUCUUGGUGAUCCUCAGGUGACCUUAUAGGAUGUGGGAAUCAGACCGGUGGCCAUCCCGCCUCGCUGUACUGUCGCUCAGGCGUCAUGAAUUUUUAAGCAUCUGUACUUUGUCUGCAGAUCAGUUCUGAAGAACACACACACUCUGGAGUGAAUGUGCCAUGGUACAACAUACUUGUUAUUUUCCUUGUAGCGAGUCUGGAAGCUUCUCCAAGCAGCUUCUUCAUAUCUCCCCAGAUCCACUGUGCCCUGACUUCUGACCUGCACAGAA